UGGCGGACGGGUGAGUAACACGUGAGCAACCUGCCUUUGAGAGGGGAAUAACGGCUGGAAACGGUCGCUAAUACCGCAUAAUGUACGGAUGGGACAUCCUGUCUGUACCAAAGAUUUAUCGCUCGAAGAUGGGCUCGCGUCCGAUUAGGUAGUUGGUGAGGUAACGGCCCACCAAGCCGACGAUCGGUAGCCGGACUGAGAGGUUGAACGGCCACAUUGGGACUGAGACACGGCCCAGACUCCUACGGGAGGCAGCAG
RNAcentral lists this ribosomal RNA (258 nucleotides) under uncultured bacterium. RNAcentral describes it as "partial 16S ribosomal RNA". It matches the Rfam family "Bacterial small subunit ribosomal RNA", at positions 96 to 354 of the family's 1533-position model. The record is from RNAcentral.